UACGUAGGGGGCAAGCGUUGUCCGGAAUCAUUGGGCGUAAAGAGCGCGUAGGCGGCCCGAUAAGUCCGCUGUGAAAGUCAAGGGCUCAACCCUUGAAUGCCGGUGGAUACUGUCGGGCUAGAGUCCGGAAGAGGCGAGUGGAAUUCCUGGUGUAGCGGUGAAAUGCGCAGAUAUCAGGAGGAACACCGGUGGCGAAGGCGGUUCUCUGGGCAUUACCUGACGCUGAGGAGCGAAAGUGUGGGGAGCGAACAGG
This 253-nucleotide ribosomal RNA is filed under the name uncultured bacterium. RNAcentral's name for it is "partial 16S ribosomal RNA". It matches the Rfam family "Bacterial small subunit ribosomal RNA", at positions 524 to 776 of the family's 1533-position model. The record is from RNAcentral.